AUCGAACGCUGGCGGCAGGCCUAAUACAUGCAAGUCGAACGAGUGGCGGACGGGUGAGUAACGUCUGGGAAAUUGCCUGUUGGAGGGGGAUAACUACUGGAAACGGUAGCUAAUACCGCAUACCUUCAGAUUUGUCUAGAUGGGAUUAGCUUGUUGGUGGGGUAACGGUUCACAAAGGCGACGAUCCCUAGCUGGUCUGAGAGGAUGACCAGCCACACUGGAACUGAGACACGGUCCAGACGCCUACGGGAGGCAGCAGUGGGGAAUAUUGCACAAUGGGCGCAAGCCUGAUGCAGCCAUGCCGCGUGUAUGAAGAAGGCCUUCGGGUUGUAAAGUACUUUCAGCGGGGAGGCGUUACCCGCAGAAGAAGCGCCGGCUAACUCCGUGCCAGCAGCCGCGGUAAUUC
This 406-nucleotide ribosomal RNA is filed under the name uncultured bacterium. Its description in RNAcentral is "partial 16S ribosomal RNA". It matches the Rfam family "Bacterial small subunit ribosomal RNA", at positions 30 to 526 of the family's 1533-position model. The record is from RNAcentral.